CUUAUUUUACUGUUAUAUUUUAUGUUUACUUUCUGUAAGAACAUAAUAAAAUGAUUCAGCUUUUAAAAAAUUAUGUUUU
Molecule: long non-coding RNA, 79 nt
Organism: Sinocyclocheilus rhinocerous
Lineage: Eukaryota; Metazoa; Chordata; Actinopteri; Cypriniformes; Cyprinidae
Exons: 3
Source: RefSeq, a predicted model, not a curated record